AGUCAAUGAUCUUGAAUAAGAAUAUAUUUUGAAAAUAUAAAAUAAAAUUAAAAAAUUUUAUUGACUU
Molecule: transfer RNA, 67 nt
Filed under: Taeniogonalos taihorina
Lineage: Eukaryota; Metazoa; Arthropoda; Insecta; Hymenoptera; Trigonalidae
Also listed under: 1 other name
Description: tRNA-Ser
Source: RNAcentral